GGGCGGUUGGCGCAGUUGGUAGCGCGCUUCCUUGACACGGAAGAGGUCAUCAGUUCAAAUCUGGUAUCGCCCACCA
This 76-nucleotide transfer RNA is filed under the name Propionibacteriaceae bacterium. Its description in RNAcentral is "tRNA-Val(gac)". It matches the Rfam family "tRNA". From Rfam's summary of the family: Transfer RNA (tRNA) molecules are approximately 80 nucleotides in length. Their secondary structure includes four short double-helical elements and three loops (D, anti-codon, and T loops). Lineage: Bacteria; Bacillati; Actinomycetota; Actinomycetes; Propionibacteriales; Propionibacteriaceae. The record is from RNAcentral.